Molecule: long non-coding RNA, 437 nt
Filed under: Phoenix dactylifera (date palm)
Lineage: Eukaryota; Viridiplantae; Streptophyta; Magnoliopsida; Arecales; Arecaceae
Description: long non-coding RNA (PDAC_LNC005363)
Source: RNAcentral
AACGCCCAAAAUUGGAGUAGCUAUGGUGAGGAAGUAAAUAGAGAUGAGUUUGGGUCUAGAAAACUAAGUAAUUAUGAAAUGAAAGCAGACCCAGAACUCAAAAAUGUCAUGUCCAAUCUGGUGACUGGAAUGAACAACUUAAGCAAAAAGUUUGAUGCUUUCACUGUUUCCACUAGCUCAAGUUCAUAUAAAGAGUUAAAUCCCAUCAUGAAAGUGGAUCAUGAGUUACAAAGUUUAUGUAUCUUGUGUAACAGUUCUGAGCAUCUAGUGGAGAGUUGUCCUAGUUUACCCACCAUUAAGGCCGAGCAAGCAAAUGUUCUAAAUUCAUAUAGUGCCUUCAAAAAGCCCACUCCCAAUUCAUUCAGUCCAGUCUACCACCCUGAUAAUAGGUUCCAUCCAAAUUUCUCAUACAAGCAAAAUGAACCUAUUCAGCAUCA